This 253-nucleotide ribosomal RNA is filed under the name uncultured bacterium. RNAcentral describes it as "partial 16S ribosomal RNA". It matches the Rfam family "Bacterial small subunit ribosomal RNA", at positions 524 to 776 of the family's 1533-position model. The record is from RNAcentral.
UACAGAGGUCCCAAGCGUUGUUCGGAUUCACUGGGCGUAAAGGGCGCGCAGGUGGGUUUGCAAGUUCGAUGUGAAAGCCCCGGGCUUAACCCGGGAAUGGCAUUGGAUACUGCAGAUCUGGAGGAUCGGAGGGGGGACUGGAAUUCUUGGUGUAGCAGUGAGAUGCGUAGAUAUCAAGAGGAACACCAGUGGCGAAGGCGAGUCCCUGGACGAUACCUGACACUGAGGCACGAAAGCUAGGGGAGCAAACAGG